RNAcentral lists this unclassified non-coding RNA (391 nucleotides) under soil metagenome. RNAcentral's name for it is "partial contains 5.8S ribosomal RNA, internal transcribed spacer 2, and large subunit ribosomal RNA". The stretch from base 1 to 122 matches the Rfam family "5.8S ribosomal RNA", at positions 35 to 154 of the family's 154-position model. The record is from RNAcentral.
GAUGAAGAACGUAGCGAAAUGCGAUACUUGGUGUGAAUUGCAGAAUCCCGUGAACCAUCGAGUCUUUGAACGCAAGUUGCGCCCGAAGCCAUUAGGCCGAGGGCACGCCUGCCUGGGCGUCACACGUCGUUGCCCCCCCAUCUACUCCUUCGGGAUUGCGGGGGGCGGAUGAUGGCCUCCCGUGCGCCUCGUCGCGCGGUUGGCAUAAAUGCCAAGUCCUUGGCGACGCACGCCACGACAAUCGGUGGUUGCGAAACCUCGGUUGCCCGUCGUGUGCGGUCGUCGCGCAUCGAGGGCUCGAAAAAAUUGCCGGGCUCCGGCUCGGCUUUCAACGCGACCCCAGGUCAGGCGGGGUUACCCGCUGAAUUUAAGCAUAUCAAUAAGCGGAGGA